Hordeum vulgare subsp. vulgare (domesticated barley) is the source of this 3078-nucleotide RNA transcript. It is a transcript of the gene named receptor-like protein EIX1, with no coding region annotated. The transcript has a single exon. Lineage: Eukaryota; Viridiplantae; Streptophyta; Magnoliopsida; Poales; Poaceae. The record is from RefSeq and is a predicted model, not a curated record.
AUGAGAUCUCAUACAAUGCUUGGAUUGCUCAUAACGUUGGCACUUUGGUGCCCUGUGAUCACCAACAACACCCGGGGCACAGCUGCUGCGUGCAUCACCGUUGAGAGGGAUGCACUGGCUACAUUCAACGCCAGCAUCACUGAUCCUGGUGGGAGGUUACGCUCAUGGCAAGGGGUAAACUGCUGCAGCUCGGGCGGUGUGAGCUGCAGCAAGAAGACCGGCCAUUUCGUCAAGCUGGACCUUGGUGCUUACUCCCUCAAAGGCGAGAUCAGUCCAUCUUUGGCCACUUUGAACAGAUUGGUGCACCUCAACCUGAGCCAUAGUGACUUCGAUGGGGUGCCCAUCCCGGAAUUCGUAGGUUCCUUCAAGAUGUUGAGAUAUCUUGAUCCGUCGCAUGCCGGUUUUGGCGGAACAGCUCCUGCUCAACUUGGUAAUUUGUCGAGACUCGUCUAUCUUGAUCUGGGUUCGUUCGGAGGUCCUGGGAUCACUGCAGAUAACUUCCAUUGGGUUUCCAAGCUGACUUCCCUGAGGUAUCUGGACCUCAGUUGGUCCUACCUUGCUGCUUCUGUGGAUUGGUUGCAGGCAGUGAACAUGCUCCCGUCACUCCAAGUGCUUCACCUCAACGAUGCUAGUCUUCCUGCCACCGACCUCACUUCUCUUUCUCAAGUCAACUUCACUUCCCUUAAGCUGCUUAAUCUGAAGAGUAACGAUCUGAAUUCCUCCAUGCCGAAUUGGAUUGACAAGCUAUCUGCCCUCUCAGAGUUGGACAUGACUAGCUGUGGGCUUUCAGGGAUGAUUCCUGAUGAUCUUGGCAAACUGACCUCACUUAAGUUCAUAUUACUAGGGGACAACAAGUUGACUGGAGUGAUACCAACAUCAGCUAAUAGAUUGUGCAACUUGGUUCAAAUCAGUUUGUCCGGGAACACCUUGUCAGAAGAUAUUGCGGAAGCAGGCAAGAGCAUGUCUCCCUCUAUGAAGCGGUUGCAGGUCCUUGAACUUUCGGGUAACAAGUUAACUGGAAACCUAUCUGGUUGGCUUGAGGGCAUGUCAGGAUUAAGAAUCCUUGAUCUCAGCGCGAACUCAGUGUCUGGAGUUGUGCCAUAUGGUAUUGGUAACCUAUCAAGCUUGACAUACCUGGAUAUUUCCUUUAAUAGAUUGAAAGGCACACUAUCGGAACUCCACUUUGCCAAUUUGUCAAGAUUGGAUACUUUAGAUUUAGCAUCAAAUUCAUUCAAGAUUGUCGUCAAACAAAGCUGGCUGCCACCUUUUCAGCUCAGAAAUCUCGGACUGCAAGAUUGCCUUGUAGGGCCAGAGUUUCCAACUUGGCUGCAAUCACAAACUAGAAUCGAGACGAUUGAUCUAGGCAGUGCAGGCAUCAGGGAUUCAUUACCUGACUGGAUCUGGAACUUCUCCUCGUCCAUCACUAGCUUAAAUGUCUCUACAAACCACAUAACUGGUAGGUUGCCUGCAAGCUUGGAGCAAUUGAAAAUACUGAAAACCCUGGCUAUGAGGAGUAAUAAGCUUGAGGGGAAAAUUCCAGAUUUGCCUAUUAGCAUCUGAGUGUUGGACCUAUCCCGCAACAACUUAUCAGGAUCACUGUCACAUAGCUUUCGAGACAAAGAACUUCAUUACCUAUCGUUGUCAGGAAAUUUCAUUAGUGGAGUAAUCCCAGCAGAUUUUUGCAACAUGACAUCAAUGGAACUGAUUGACCUAUCUGAUAGCAACCUUUCAGGAGAGCUUCCCAAUUGUUGGCUUAAGGAAUCGGAACUUUAUGUCAUAGAUUUUUCAAGCAAUAACUUGUGGGGAGAAAUACCAUCUACCCUGGGUUCUCUAAAUUCCCUCAUGUCACUGCAUCUUAGCAAGAAUAGCUUAUCCGGAGUAUUGCCCACCUCAUUGCAGUCAUGCCAAACGUUGAUGUUCCUUGAUCUUGCAGAAAAUAAUUUGUCAGGAAACAUACCAAAAUGGAUAGGUGAGAGUCUAAAGUCUCUGAUACUUGUGAGUUUAGGGUCCAACCAGUUUUCUGGUAAAAUACCUGAAGAAUUGUCCCAACUUCCUGCUGUGCAAUAUUUGGAUCUUCAUAACAACAAACUAUCUGGCCCAGUACCACCUUUCCUGGGAAAUUUAACAGCCUUACACUUGCGCAAUCUUUACCAGAUAACAUCGUCUUCCGUUCAGUUCAAGGUUUAUGGUCUCGAGGGUGCUUACUUUUCUGUGUACACAGAUGCCUUGGAGGCAACGUGGAAAGGUCAAGUUAUUGUUUUUGAGAGAACACUAUUCCUGCUUACCGGAAUUAAUCUCUCCGCAAACCAGUUAACUGGUGAGAUUCCAAGUGAAAUAGUAUCUCUAUCUACAUUACGGUUAUUGAAUCUGUCAAAGAACCACAUUGGAGGAAGUAUCCCUGCUGAACUGGGGAAUUUGGUCGAUUUAGAGUCACUCGAUCUCUCAUGGAAUGAACUAUCAGGUCCAGUUCCUCACAGCUUGGCGUCAGUACCAUAUUUGUCCUACCUGAAUUUGUCCUACAAUGAUCUCUCAGGGCAGAUACCGUAUGGAAAUCAAUUGAGCACUUUUGAUAAUCUCAGCUACUUGGGAAACGAAAAUCUUUGCGGGCCUCCACUUUCCAGAAUCUGUGUACCCGAGAGUAACAGACACCAAAACCAUAAACUUCAACUCAGAUUUGACACGCUGACAUGUCUAUUUACACUGCUCGGGUUUGCGUUCGGAAUCUCCACUGUAUUCACCACCUUCAUAUGCAGCGCGGUCGCAAGGAAGGCUUACUUUCGGUUCACCGACAGGGCACUGAGCAAGCUGUGGUGCACUGCAGUGGAGAUGAAGCUUAGCAUCAACAGGAUGAUGCCAGCAGGAAGAGACCCCUCCAUGGCGACACGGAGUCAGGACACCAUCACUUGCUACGAGCUGGAACAACCUUCUGCCGCUAGUAUGUAAUAAGGCGCCUUGUAAUAUCAUAUGAAUGGACCAGCCAUAUGUUAUUUCCUUAGAAUAACCAGCUGAACUCCCUUGCCCCGCUGGAUAUUAUUGUACAAUCCACUUGGACCUCUUUAUAGUUCCUACUAGAGAUGA